RNAcentral lists this ribosomal RNA (618 nucleotides) under Escherichia coli. RNAcentral describes it as "partial 23S ribosomal RNA". It matches the Rfam family "Bacterial large subunit ribosomal RNA", at positions 2211 to 2833 of the family's 2925-position model. The record is from RNAcentral. Lineage: Bacteria; Pseudomonadati; Pseudomonadota; Gammaproteobacteria; Enterobacterales; Enterobacteriaceae.
UGUUUGAUGUUCUAACGUUGGCCCCUGAUCGGGGUUGCGGACAGUGUCUGGUGGGUAGUUUGACUGGGGCGGUCUCCUCCUAAAGAGUAACGGAGGAGCACGAAGGUUGGCUAAUCCUGGUCGGACAUCAGGAGGUUAGUGCAAUGGCAUAAGCCAGCUUGACUGCGAGCGUGACGGCGCGAGCAGGUGCGAAAGCAGGUCAUAGUGAUCCGGUGGUUCUGAAUGGAAGGGCCAUCGCUCAACGGAUAAAAGGUACUCCGGGGAUAACAGGCUGAUACCGCCCAAGAGUUCAUAUCGACGGCGGUGUUUGGCACCUCGAUGUCGGCUCAUCACAUCCUGGGGCUGAAGUAGGUCCCAAGGGUAUGGCUGUUCGCCAUUUAAAGUGGUACGCGAGCUGGGUUUAGAACGUCGUGAGACAGUUCGGUCCCUAUCUGCCGUGGGCGCUGGAGAACUGAGGGGGGCUGCUCCUAGUACGAGAGGACCGGAGUGGACGCAUCACUGGUGUUCGGGUUGUCAUGCCAAUGGCACUGCCCGGUAGCUAAAUGCGGAAGAGAUAAGUGCUGAAAGCAUCUAAGCACGAAACUUGCCCCGAGAUGAGUUCUCCCUGAGACUUUAAGU